RNAcentral lists this ribosomal RNA (465 nucleotides) under Vreelandella stevensii. Its description in RNAcentral is "partial 16S ribosomal RNA". It matches the Rfam family "Bacterial small subunit ribosomal RNA", at positions 338 to 795 of the family's 1533-position model. Lineage: Bacteria; Pseudomonadati; Pseudomonadota; Gammaproteobacteria; Oceanospirillales; Halomonadaceae. The record is from RNAcentral.
CCUACGGGGGGCAGCAGUGGGGAAUAUUGGACAAUGGGCGAAAGCCUGAUCCAGCCAUGCCGCGUGUGUGAAGAAGGCCUUCGGGUUGUAAAGCACUUUCAGUGGGGAAGAAAGCCUUGGGGCUAAUACCCUCGAGGAAGGACAUCACCCACAGAAGAAGCACCGGCUAACUCCGUGCCAGCAGCCGCGGUAAUACGGAGGGGGCGAGCGUUAAUCGGAAUUACUGGGCGUAAAGCGCGCGUAGGCGGUCUGAUAAGCCGGUUGUGAAAGCCCCGGGCUCAACCUGGGAACGGCAUCCGGAACUGUCAGGCUAGAGUGCAGGAGAGGAAGGUAGAAUUCCCGGUGUAGCGGUGAAAUGCGUAGAGAUCGGGAGGAAUACCAGUGGCGAAGGCGGCCUUCUGGACUGACACUGACGCUGAGGUGCGAAAGCGUGGGUAGCAAACAGGAUUAGAUACCCCUGUAGUC